Transfer RNA from Ipomoea nil (Japanese morning glory), 82 nucleotides. It matches the Rfam family "tRNA". Rfam says of the family: Transfer RNA (tRNA) molecules are approximately 80 nucleotides in length. Their secondary structure includes four short double-helical elements and three loops (D, anti-codon, and T loops). Lineage: Eukaryota; Viridiplantae; Streptophyta; Magnoliopsida; Solanales; Convolvulaceae. The record is from Rfam.
GUGGGCAUGCCGGAGUGGUUAACGGGCAUGACUCGAAAUCAUGUAGGUUUUGCCCUCACAGGUUCAAAUCCUGCUGCUCACG